AUGGGCUUCCGAGAUAUACACUGUUUCAACCUGGCGCUAUUAGCUAAACAAGCGUGUCAUCUUCUUGAUAAUCCUGAAUCUUAAUGUGCAACCAUCUUGAGAGCUAAGUGUUUCCCUGAGGGAGAUUUGAUGAACGCAAGUUUAAAGAAGAGAUCCUCUUUUACUUGGCAAAGCAUUAUGGCGGGAGUGAACUCUUUGAGAAAUGGUUAUACCUGGCGAGUUGGAAAUGGACAAAACAUCGAUAUUUGAAGAGAUGCAUGGAUUCCAAUUUGUGCGAAUAGGAAAAUUAUUACUCCUAGAGGUGGGAAACUUCUGUCAAAUGUGGUUGAUCUUAUUGAUCCAAUCACGAAUUUUUGGGAUGAAGAUUUAGUGAGACAAACUUUGUUGCAAAUUGAUGUGCAAAGGGUCCUCGCGAUUCCCCUUCCUAUGCAUAAUAUGUCGGAUUUCAUUGCCUGGAGCUAUACAAAAAUUGGUGUAUUCACAGUUCGAUCAGCUUAUUUGGAGGAAUGGAACCAACAACACGGGAGGAAAUUGCAAUAUACUAAUGGUAUGGGUUGA
RNAcentral lists this ribosomal RNA (558 nucleotides) under Triticum aestivum (bread wheat). RNAcentral's name for it is "partial small subunit ribosomal RNA". Lineage: Eukaryota; Viridiplantae; Streptophyta; Magnoliopsida; Poales; Poaceae. The record is from RNAcentral.